CAUUAGCAAUAGAAUAUUACAAAUCCCUAAUCCCCUUUCUUCCUUUCCAUUGCCGAUUUGAUUUUGAUUCACCCACCGCCAUAGCUAGAUUCAACUUCCCUUUUCCAAAAACCAUUCAAUCGAUAUAAGACCCAAUUCUUCAAACUGGAAACCCUAAAUCUCCAAUAUCAUCUUCUCCGCCGUCUGAAAAUCCUCGGAGGCAAUCACAGGGACAGUUGGAAAUUUAUCUUCAAGAUUCUUCAAGAAUUUUUAGUUUCAAUCUCUUAGUCACAUUCUCUCUUCUAUUUGAACGAUCUAUCAUACUCUUUGGUUUUGGUCAAUUUACUCUUUAGUUUUAUAUCUUUCUUCUCUUUGAUUUUAUGUCCUUCUAUUCUACUACUCUUUCUACGUUUAUUGGAUUAAUGUCAUGAAACUCUUUAUUGGAUUCAGAUUUCUA
This is a long non-coding RNA of Camelina sativa (false flax), 436 nucleotides long. RefSeq lists it as uncharacterized. The record is from RefSeq and is a predicted model, not a curated record. Lineage: Eukaryota; Viridiplantae; Streptophyta; Magnoliopsida; Brassicales; Brassicaceae.